AGAAAUUUUUCCCAUCUGCAUGGGGCCUUAUGUGUCUCACCCACACGGGCGCACGCAGCCAGCACGGGACGUAUGCCAGUGCACACAUCCCAUCCACGCGGGGCGCGAGGCGUGCAAUCCGCGCGCGUCACAUCAUGCACAGACAAGCACGCAACUUCGCGCGCACUAUGCACAUGCCUAUGCACGCAGGCCCUUAGCCAGCACGCGCCACCUUUUAGGAGGCGAGUGUUGUCGUUUGACUAGCGCGCCAUUGUCGUUUGGGUAAUGGGCCUUUAAUUUUUGUACCACCAUCGCAUUAUUGUUCUCUCGUCGAUCGUCCAUCAAUCACACCUGUCAGUCGUCGUGUCGCGUUAGGUCAUUUUUUUCCCUCCCUCUUUCCUCACAAAUUUGUGCUACUUGACGAAA
RNAcentral lists this long non-coding RNA (405 nucleotides) under Carica papaya (papaya). Its description in RNAcentral is "long non-coding RNA (CPAP_LNC002549)". The record is from RNAcentral. Lineage: Eukaryota; Viridiplantae; Streptophyta; Magnoliopsida; Brassicales; Caricaceae.